Molecule: ribosomal RNA, 459 nt
Filed under: uncultured bacterium
Lineage: Bacteria
Description: partial 16S ribosomal RNA
Rfam family: Bacterial small subunit ribosomal RNA
Source: RNAcentral
CCUACGGGUGGCAGCAGUGAGGAAUAUUGGACAAUGGGCGCGAGCCUGAACCAGCCAAGUCGCGUGAGGGAAGACGGUCCUAUGGAUUGUAAACCUCUUUUGUCGGGGAGCAAAAGACGCCACGCGUAGCGGUCCGAGAGUACCCGAAGAAAAAGCGUCGGCUAACUCGGUGCCAGCAGCCGCGGUAAUACGGAGGAGGCGAGUGUUAACCGGAUUAAUUGGGUUAAAAGGGUGAGCAGGCGGAUGGUCAAGUCAGCGGUGAAAUGGAGAGGCUCAACCUCUUCGAGCAUGUGAAACUGGUUUUCUUGAGUGAGCGAGAGGUAUGUGGAAUGCGUGGUGUAGCGGUGAAAUGCAUAGAUAUCUCGCAGAACUCCGAUUGCGAAGGCAGCAUCCCGGCGCUCAACUGACGCUCAUGCACGAAAGUGUGGGUAUCGAACAGGAUUAGAUACCCCUGUAGUC